AUUUGGGUUAUUGAUGGGGAAGAUCUACAUACCUUUGCUCCUAAGAUUUUCCUUUCUUCGCUUAUAAGUCUCAUAAGUGUAGAUAAACCCUCUCCACAAAACAGAAAUAAGUAAGGGCUUAAAGGAUCCCCUUGACGCAGCCCUCUUGAUGGUUUGAAAUUAAGACCUUCUUCAACAUUAAGUAAAAUUGAAUAAUGAACCGAACUAAUACAGUGAAGCAUAAAAUCAAUAAAUGGAUUGACAAAGCCCAAUUUUGACAUCAAACCUUUAAGAAAAAACCAUUCCACUCGAUCAUAGGCCUUACUCAUAUCUAGCUUUAGAGCCAUAAAUCCUUUUCGCCCUGAUCUUUUGUUCUUGAAAGAGUGAAGUACCUCAUACGCCAACAACACAUUGUUAGUUAUAAGCCUACCCGGUACAAAAGUACUUUGAGAGUCAUCAAUACAAACAUCUAGUACCUUUUGUAAAUGGUUAGCAACUGACUUGGCAAUAAUCUUAUAGAUAACCGUACAGAGGCUAAUAGGACAAAGAAUUUUCAAAUUGAGGGGAUUUGCAAUUUUUGGAAUUAAAACCAACUGAGUUCUGUUGAUUUCUUCCAAAGAUUUGCCAUUAUUCAAAAUAUCCAAACAGAAAUCACUAGUAUCUUUACCAAUAAUAUGUCAAUACUUUUGGUAAAAUACUAUCGAAAAACCAUAUGGACCUGAAGCUUUUGUAGGUCCUAUUCCUUUCAACGCUUCAACAAUUUCCUUCUCUGUGUAAGUAGCCAUCAAACUUUGAUUCACACUGUUAGAAAUGCAACACGGUACCCCCGAUAAAAUGUGAUCCAAAUUGCCAAUUCCUCUAGAAGCGAAAAGGUCCAAGAAAUAUUCACGAGCAAUAUUCCCAGUUUUGAUACAAUCAGUAGCUAAAGAACCAUCAUUCCUUUGUAAUCCUCGAAUGCGAUUAGUAUGCCGUUUUUAAGAAGCAAACUUGUAAAAAAACGAAGUGUUUUUAUCACCCAUUUUCAACCAAUUCACUCUGGCUCAUUGCUCCCAAUAUCUUGCUUCCUUAUCCAUCUUCAUAUUCAGGUGUAAUUUGACAUCAACAAGUUCAGCCAAAAUUUCUUUCGAUUGCUAAGAAUAAUUUAAUUCCUCCAAUAUCCUUGUUAAUAUUUUAACAUCUUGACCUCGUUUGUAUUUAAUCUUGCCUGCCCAACAUUUUAAGCCAUUAGCAAGAGUUAAAAUACUUUUGAAAAAAACCCAAAUUGCCCUCCUAUAGCUUUCUUAUCUCUUCCUCACAAGACUCAUCCAAAACUCACCACACUUUAAAAUGAAACCUUCUAGAUUUUUUACCCCUUCCUCCAACCUUCGUCUCAAUAAGUAAUGGACAGUGAUCCGAGAAAGAAUGAGGAAGAUGCCUCAAUGAAUAAGUUGGAAAGAGUUGAAUCCAUGCGUCAGUAGCAACACCUCUGUUAAUUCUUUCUCUUAUAUUAUUUUUCCAAUAUUUGGCCCCUCUCCCAAGUAAACAAUGUCCUAGAAUACCCAAUGUCCUCCAAAUGACAAUCCUCCAAAGUUCUAUGAAAAGCAUACAUUCUAGCCUCAUCCCUUAAAAUCCCUCACUGUUUCUUAUUCGCAAAAAGAAUAUCAUUAAAGUCCCCACCAACCAGCCAUGGUAGCGAAUUAUUUCUCCUUAAUCGUCGAAGCAAAUCCCACGUCAUGGCUUUAUCCCUUACAUCCAGGGCCCUAAAGAAACCCAUAAAUCUCCAACGUGGAUUACCUUUCUUUUCUUGAAUUUCAACAUCAAUGUGAUUUUUAGAGAAACUCUUCAAAGUAACUAAAUGACCUCUAUUCCACCCAAUACUUAAACCUCUCAUGUCCCAUCCGCAGGGACAUCAACACCAUUAAAAAAACACAUCGUCUCCUAACAUUCUCCAUUCAAUUAACAUUCAAUUUUUUCUCCAUAAAGAAGAUAAUUUGGGGAUGAUAAAUUUUCAGCACAUGUUGAAAAUCUUUGUACUGCUCGCAGACUCCCCAAUCCACGAACAUUCUAGCAAAAAGUUUUCAUUUCUUCCGGACGGCAUACCCACUAGUAGUAGUCGGUAAUUGCUUAAGAUUAACUGAAUGCCCACCAUUGAUCUCCAAUGAAUCUCGAAUAGUGGAAACAUUAGAAAUUAAAGAAUCAAACCUGCCUUUUUUUACAGUCCUCAUUAGUGAUUAGAUCCUCUUCUAACUUACAAUCCUUUCUCGUCAAAUCCAGCCCAUUAGCAGGGCCCACAUCAAUCGAAACCUUUCUUAUUUCCACCUAUUCAAACUAGUCUCCAUCUGUUGACUUUUACAAGGCUUCAAAUCUUUCCCAAAAAUGUGAAGUGAUUCCUGCCUCUAUACUAGAACAUUUGUAAAUUUGGAACCUUCCAAAUUAAUUCCAAGAAUAGGGAGUUUAGAGAUGUCUGAAAGAGUAAAUUGGUUGUGUUAAAUGUUGCAAAAAUUAUGGUGCCUGGAAGUUUUAAUUUGGACGAUCAAUGCCAUGUUUGCUGUUGAAUAUUUCUGUUACGUAGGACAAAUUAAAUAAGUUAAUAUUGAUUAAAAAUACUGAUUUAAAUGAGUGUAAUGUUGUCCAAAGUAAAGACAAAUUAUAUGUAUUUUGCAAGUGAAAUUUUGUAAAAUAGUUGUUGCAUGUUUGCUGUCCGAGGCAACCCUUACAUAUAUGUGAGUGUGAAAUACAGUACAAAACUCGGAUUCAAUUUUUGUGAUGUAGAUUUAUAUAUAAAUUGCCAGCAUUUUCAGGGCCAUUUUGAAUGUACUUUUGUGGAGUCAUAUUUGUAUAAUGAUAGGCUUAUUUAGAUUUGAUUUUAUGGUAGAUUGAAAUACAACAAAAGUACUAGCAUUUUUUUUAAUAGAAUCUGAUUUGUGAAGUAGCAGUGGAAGAGGACUUGCCUUUCUUCUUCAAAGAUACACCUUUUGAUCUUUGUUCCUUCAAGGUGAUGAGUAUGGUUGACAAUUCUAACGGUGAUAAAAGUGAUGAUGAAAGGGAAAAGAAAGAAAUAUUACAAUGCAUUGCAUAUUAUUCUGUGCAAUUAUAUUAUGAGAAGUAUAUAUUGAAGCAAUCAUGAAUGGAUUCAAAACAGUCAAGUGAGGCAUGGAUCCGAGAGAUUCUUGACUGUAACACUCCUAACCCGUAUUUAUUGUCGGAACAGGGGUACAGAGCAUUACUAGAGUUUACAAAACAAUUAAACAGAUAUUUCAUAUAAUAUAACAUUCAUGUCAGAAA
Gossypium arboreum is the source of this 3243-nucleotide long non-coding RNA. RefSeq lists it as uncharacterized. The record is from RefSeq and is a predicted model, not a curated record. The transcript is spliced from 2 exons. NCBI's taxonomy places the organism in Eukaryota, Viridiplantae, Streptophyta, Magnoliopsida, Malvales, Malvaceae.